Non-coding RNA from Pelobates cultripes (western spadefoot toad), 626 nucleotides. The record is from the annotation of a GenBank genome assembly. Lineage: Eukaryota; Metazoa; Chordata; Amphibia; Anura; Pelobatidae.
UGGGAAGCAAAGGAGGUAAUGUCCGGUUCUGAGGCAGUUGACCAAUUAAUAUCUACACAAGCCGACUAUCAUAUGAGUAUUAGAGGUAAAUCUGAGUGGAGAUUGAAGACCUCCAUCAUAGGUUAUGUUUGCAUAGCGAGGAAAGGAAUGAUGUAUAAUACUUCUGUAGGAGAAUUAACUUGUCUAGGGCAAAAAGCUUAUGAUGAUGAUACAAAGAAUACAACUUGGUGGUCGGCUUCAAAUGUCUCAGAACCAUCUAACCCGUUUGCAAGAUAUGACAAUUUAAAGGACGUAUGGUUUGAUCUAUCCAUCACAUCUAACUGGAGAGCCCCAGCGAAUUUGUACUGGAUCUGUGGUAAGAAGGCCUAUUCGGAGUUACCACAGGACUGGGAAGGGGCAUGUGUGUUGGGUAUGUUAAAACCAUCCUUCUUCUUGUUGCCUAUUGAAACAGGUGGGACUUUAGGUGUUAAAGUGUAUGAUGUGAAUCAUAGGAAGAAAAGGGGACCCAUAGAGAUAGGUGCCUGGGAAGAUAAUGAAUGGCCUCCCCAGCGUAUUAUAGAUUAUUAUGGGCCAGCCACGUGGGCAGAGGAUGGUACCUUUGGUUAUAGAACCCCUAUUUAUAUGCU